UGAAUCUUCUCGCUUAUCUUCUCCAUCACGGACUCAAUCGGACUUUCAGAAUGCUCCGCCAUGCUAUCGCGAUCAACCAAAUCCUAUUUAAAUUUCUAAUUUCGCCGAAAUGAAAUUUCCUAUAUAAAUUCGGUGGCCGUGAUACAUGGAGCGAGUAACAAGCGACUGAAAAUGUAGGUUAGCAUGGUGGCCACUGUACCAUAGAC
This 206-nucleotide unclassified non-coding RNA is filed under the name Hevea brasiliensis (rubber tree). The record is from RNAcentral. Lineage: Eukaryota; Viridiplantae; Streptophyta; Magnoliopsida; Malpighiales; Euphorbiaceae.